AAGAAGAUCAAAGAUUUGGUAAAGUAUAAAUGACAAUAGGCAUUGUUACGUACACCAGUUCUUUUCUAGGUGACAUCAGAGAUGUGACGUCACGAAGUGGUGAUGACGCAACAGAAGAACCCACUUCAAAAGUAAGCGAUAUGCUGCAAAAGAAAAGCGCAAGACAAAGAGUAAAGACGAGCAAGACGAUGAAGAUGCCGGUUUGAGGUUUUGCUUAGGCUUACGGAGUUGUGUGUUGUUGGGGUGUGGUUGCUGGAGCACUCUUACAGUGUUGCCGGAUUUGUGUUUGUGUCUCAUUUUUGCUGGACCUAAUGUGGCCAGCCUUUUUGUCAGUCACUCCUUUAGUGCAUUUUGCAUGUCACUGAAAUAUAUGCAAUGAAACUAUGGCAAACAUCUUGCUGGAUCGGAUUUUGUUUUUGUACACGUCAUUAUGUGUUUCUUCUGCAAAGGUCGAAUCUUUUAGCGAUUCUGUAUUGUCCCAAUCACUUGGUAAUAACGGCAUGUUGGUACACAAAUACUUUAGUAAUAUCCACGCGCAUUAUAAUAUAGACGCAGUUAAACUUUUAAAUUUGAAAUCCCUCGUUUUUCACUAAUUAAUUGUUCUCGUUGACCAGUUUCUGUUCAUGACCCCCAUUAAUCUGUUUCUGUUUAAAAAGCCUAAUUGUGACGCUGGCCACGUUACAAUUACGCUAUACGUCGAUGGGUCUUUGAGGCCCUGCGUUCGGUGCGGUUACGUCACGGUUCUAGAUUGAGCUAUGUUAUACUGUUGGGUUGUUGCGUGGACGUCACCGCCAGUGAUGCUACGCUAGUUUUAGGUCACUACCGGUACAGUGAUGCUACUCCCAGGAAUUUAGAUCACUAUUAGUGCGGUUCGCAAUAUCCUGACUCAGUUUCAUGGCGGUCGAAGCGGUGCUUAACAUCCGAACGAUAUUAUAUUGCGUAAAGAUGCGACGAGAGUAUCGCGGUACCAACAUGGCGGCUUGUCAGGCGAUUGGGACAUACGGAGCCGUUAUUGGCUUCGACUCCUUGUGGCCGGACAUAGAAUAAUUUGUACACAACAGAUGAUUAUCCUUCAGGAUUUGAACCAUAUUUUCUUUGAAGAUGUUUCAAUGAUUAUGUCCGUGUUAAUUAACUUUUUAUAAUCGUCCAUUUUUUGGAUAUGAUUGAGCUGUUGUGUGUAUUGCAUGUUUUUCUGCACGUUUUGUAUUUGCACCUCGUA
This is a non-coding RNA of Ciona intestinalis (vase tunicate), 1219 nucleotides long. NCBI's taxonomy places the organism in Eukaryota, Metazoa, Chordata, Ascidiacea, Phlebobranchia, Cionidae. The record is from RefSeq and is a predicted model, not a curated record.